Molecule: long non-coding RNA, 598 nt
Organism: Arachis stenosperma
Lineage: Eukaryota; Viridiplantae; Streptophyta; Magnoliopsida; Fabales; Fabaceae
Exons: 3
Source: RefSeq, a predicted model, not a curated record
UUAGGGUUUGAUAUCAUUCUUGCGCCUCUUCAGUUAAUGUCUAUGUUCCCAAGGACAGAGUCACUAACCAACACCAGGGAUAAGGAUUUGUUGAAUUCCGUAGUGAAGAAGAUGCUGACUAUGCCAUCAAGGUGCUUAAUAUGAUUAAACUUUACGGCAAGCCAAUUCGUGUAAAUAAGGAUGUAGAUGAGAAGCUCUUGUAUGACACUUUCAGUGCAUUUGGAGUUAUUGUUACUAAUCCAAAGGUUAUUUUCUUCUAAUAUCUUUCAUUACUUCUAGAAGCAUCAUGAUUGUAUAGCUUAAUUAACGGCUUCUUGCAAGUAGCAGUUGCUAAGUACUUUUCAUUUUCCCCUUAUCUGCAUUUCUCAGUAGAACAACCAGAUAUUAUUGUUUUAUCCUCUGAUCACUGGUCCAUUCAUUUUUGAGCACUUAGCAGUUAGCUGUAUACUCCUAAAAUGUUUGUGGUCUUACUAAAUGAAUUUGAUGCUGUUCCAAUGUAUCCUCCAAGAGAAAAGUUUUCUAAUUAGUUUUCCGUUAAACGGGUUGGGUGGAUCCAUAAAGUGGAAUUUUGGUUUAGCACUUUAUUUGAUUGGUUGAG